ACACUGCUGUGGAGUCCCACAAUUGGACGAAACGGCCGUCCAGUGC
RNAcentral lists this non-coding RNA (46 nucleotides) under Schistosoma mansoni. Lineage: Eukaryota; Metazoa; Platyhelminthes; Trematoda; Strigeidida; Schistosomatidae. The record is from RNAcentral.